This 541-nucleotide long non-coding RNA is filed under the name Carica papaya (papaya). RNAcentral's name for it is "long non-coding RNA (CPAP_LNC002115)". Lineage: Eukaryota; Viridiplantae; Streptophyta; Magnoliopsida; Brassicales; Caricaceae. The record is from RNAcentral.
UCAAUGGGGUUCCUUACUACACAUGAACCAAAUAUCCAAUUUAUGAAUUAACCAGUCGUCCCCAUACUCCAUCAGGUAAUUAACGUCAAAUGUAUCACCGCCUUAAUACCCUGUUCGGUAAUGGACGCCAAACGUACCACCGCCUCAAUACCCCGUCUAGUACGACGAUGAUCAGAUACGUUUGAGGAGACGUGGUCCGUUCCCAACUGUUGGAUCAAUCCUAUAUAGAGAAUGAAUCUGGACCGCACGAUCAGAUGCUAUCAGGGUUGUUCGAUCGCAUCUGAAGGAGAAAUGAAUCUGGACCGUUCGUAGGCGCAAGAGUAGAUCUGGGCCGUCAGAUCUAUUAGCACGAGGAUCGCUCGCGUUGCUUCCUGCGUGGACGCAUGUCCGCGUGUUUGCCACGUGGCAAACAGCGACCGGUUGUGCUGCUGACAUGGCAGUUCACGUGGCCACUUUUAUAUUAUUUUUACUUUUGCCCCUAGUUAUUAAGAUUUCUUUUCAAAUAUAUCAUUUUUUAUUUCUUGUUUGGCAAUGAUUUUUG